UAAUACAGAGGAGGCAAGCGUUGUUCGGAAUCACUGGGCUUAAAGCGCGUGUAGGCGGCCCGUCAAGUACCUUGUGAAAUCCCUCGGCUCAACCGGGGAAUGGCUGGGUAUACUGACAGGCUUGAGGUUGGUAGGGGUGCCUGGAACUCUAGGUGGAGCGGUGAAAUGCGUAGAUAUCUAGAGGAACGCCCGUGGCGAAAGCGGGGCACUGGGCCACACCUGACGCUAAGACGCGAAAGCGUGGGGAGCAAACGGGAUUAGAUACCCCGGUAGUCCACGCCGUAAACGAUGCGCACAAGGUUCACGAGACUCUGACGUCGAGUGAGCCGAAACAAAAGUGUUAAGUGCGCCGCCUGGGGAGUACGGCCGCAAGGCUA
This 377-nucleotide ribosomal RNA is filed under the name uncultured bacterium. RNAcentral's name for it is "bacterial SSU rRNA". It matches the Rfam family "Bacterial small subunit ribosomal RNA", at positions 521 to 896 of the family's 1533-position model. The record is from RNAcentral.